Molecule: ribosomal RNA, 497 nt
Filed under: uncultured bacterium
Lineage: Bacteria
Description: partial 16S ribosomal RNA
Rfam family: Bacterial small subunit ribosomal RNA
Source: RNAcentral
GAUGAACGCUGGCGGCGUGCCUAAUACAUGCAAGUCGAGCGAACAGACGAGGAGCUUGCUUCUCUGACGUUAGCGGCGGACGGGUGAGUAACACGUGGAUAACCUACCUAUAAGACUGGGAUAACUUCGGGAAACCGGAGCUAAUACCGGAUAAUAUAUUUAACCGCAUGGUUCAAUAGUGAAAGACGGUUUUGCUGUCACUUAUAGAUGGAUCCGCGCCGCAUUAGCUAGUUGGUAAGGUAACGGCUUACCAAGGCAACGAUGCGUAGCCGACCUGAGAGGGUGAUCGGCCACACUGGAACUGAGACACGGUCCAGACUCCUACGGGAGGCAGCAGUAGGGAAUCUUCCGCAAUGGGCGAAAGCCUGACGGAGCAACGCCGCGUGAGUGAUGAAGGUCUUCGGAUCGUAAAACUCUGUUAUUAGGGAAGAACAAAUGUGUAAGUAACUAUGCACGUCUUGACGGUACCUAAUCAGAAAGCCACGGCUAACUACGUG